GACGAACGCUGGCGGCGUGCUUAACACAUGCAAGUCGAGCGAUGAAGCUCCUUCGGGAGCGGAUUAGCGGCGGACGGGUGAGUAACACGUGGGUAACCUGCCUCAUAGAGGGGAAUAGCCUUUCGAAAGGAAGAUUAAUACCGCAUAAGAUUGUAGCUUCGCAUGAAGUAGCAAUUAAAGGAGUAAUCCGCUAUGAGAUGGACCCGCGUCGCAUUAGCGAGUUGGUGGGGUAACGGCUCACCAAGGCGACGAUGCGUAGCCGACCUGAGAGGGUGAUCGGCCACAUUGGGACUGAGACACGGCCCAGACUCCUACGGGAGGCAGCAGUGGGGAAUAUUGCACAAUGGGGGAAACCCUGAUGCAGCAACGCCGCGUGAGUGAUGACGGUCUUCGGAUUGUAAAGCUCUGUCUUCAGGGACGAUAAUGACGGUACCUGAGGAGGAAGCCACGGCUAACUACGUGCCAGCAGCCGCAGUAA
RNAcentral lists this ribosomal RNA (478 nucleotides) under uncultured bacterium. RNAcentral describes it as "partial 16S ribosomal RNA". It matches the Rfam family "Bacterial small subunit ribosomal RNA", at positions 28 to 523 of the family's 1533-position model. The record is from RNAcentral.